AGCGCAGGCGGGAGAACAAGUUGGAAGUGAAAUCCAUGGGCUCAACCCAUGAACUGCUUUCAAAACUGUUUUUCUUUGAGUAGUGCAGAGGUAGGCGGAAUUCCCGGUGUAGCGGUGGAAUGCGUAGAUAUCGGGAGGAACACCAGUGGCGAAGGCGGCCUACUGGGCGCCAACUGACGCUGAGGCUCGAAAGUGUGGGUAGCAAAC
Molecule: ribosomal RNA, 207 nt
Filed under: uncultured bacterium
Lineage: Bacteria
Description: partial 16S ribosomal RNA
Rfam family: Bacterial small subunit ribosomal RNA
Source: RNAcentral